UACGUAGGGUCCGAGCGUUGUCCGGAAUUAUUGGGCGUAAAGGGCUCGUAGGCGGUUCGUCACGUCGGGAGUGAAAACUCGGAGCUUAACUCCGAGCCUGCUUCCGAUACGGGCAGACUAGAGGUAGGCAGGGGAGAGCGGAACUCCUGGUGUAGCGGUGGAAUGCGCAGAUAUCAGGAAGAACACCGGUGGCGAAGGCGGUUCUCUGGGACGGUACUGACGCUGAGACGCGAAAGCGUGGGGAGCGAACAGG
This 253-nucleotide ribosomal RNA is filed under the name uncultured bacterium. RNAcentral's name for it is "partial 16S ribosomal RNA". It matches the Rfam family "Bacterial small subunit ribosomal RNA", at positions 524 to 776 of the family's 1533-position model. The record is from RNAcentral.